GGUGGUUCAAUGGUAGAGUGCUUGCCUGGCAAGCAUUAGGCCCUGGGUUCAAUUCCUAAGUACCA
RNAcentral lists this transfer RNA (65 nucleotides) under Dipodomys ordii (Ord's kangaroo rat). It matches the Rfam family "tRNA". From Rfam's summary of the family: Transfer RNA (tRNA) molecules are approximately 80 nucleotides in length. The record is from Rfam by way of RNAcentral. Lineage: Eukaryota; Metazoa; Chordata; Mammalia; Rodentia; Heteromyidae.